AACGAACGUUAGCGGCGCGCCUAACACAUGCAAGUCGCGCGAGAAAGGGCUUCGGCCCCAGUAAAGCGGCGCACGGGUGAGUAACACGUAGGUCAUCUUCCCCUGAGUGGUGGAUAACUCUCCGAAAGGAGAGCUAAUACAGCAUAAGACCACGACCUCGCCGAGGUUGUGGCCAAAGCAGACCUCUUCAUGAAAGUUUGCGCUUAGGGAUGAGCCUGCGGCCCAUCAGCUAGUUGGUAGGGUAAUGGCCUACCAAGGCUAAGACGGGUAGCUGGUCUGAGAGGAUGAACAGCCACACUGGAACUGAGACACGGUCCAGACUCCUACGGGAGGCAGCAGUGGGGAAUCUUGCGCAAUGGGCGAAAGCCUGACGCAGCGACGCCGCGUGAGCGAUGAAGGCCUUCGGUU
RNAcentral lists this ribosomal RNA (408 nucleotides) under uncultured bacterium. RNAcentral describes it as "bacterial SSU rRNA". It matches the Rfam family "Bacterial small subunit ribosomal RNA", at positions 29 to 423 of the family's 1533-position model. The record is from RNAcentral.